CUUAGCCUACCAUGGCCGACCAGAGACAGCGCUCCCUGUCUACCUCCGGGGAAUCGCUGUACCACGUCCUGGGCCUGGACAAGAAUGCGACCUCGGAUGACAUUAAAAAGUCCUAUCGGAAACUGGCCUUGAAGUACCACCCAGACAAGAACCCCGAUAACCCGGAGGCCGCGGAGAAGUUCAAGGAGAUCAACAGCGCCCAUGCCAUCCUGACGGAUGCCACGAAGAGAAACAUCUACGACAAGUACGGCUCGCUGGGGCUGUACGUGGCCGAGCAGUUCGGGGAGGAGAACGUCAACACCUACUUCGUGCUCUCCAGCUGGUGGGCCAAGGCCCUGUUCGUCGUCUGCGGGCUCCUCACCUGCUGCUACUGCUGCUGCUGCCUGUGCUGCUGCUUCAACUGCUGCUGCGGGAAGUGCAAGCCUCGGGCGCCCGAGGGCGAGGAACCCGAGUUCUACGUGUCCCCCGAGGACCUGGAGGCUCAGCUGCAGUCCGACGAGCGGGGAGGGCACUGACACUGGGCCGGGAGUGUUUGUGGUGGCAGCUGGGCCUGUUGAGGUGUGACGUGGAACCUGGAGAGGCCACAGACACGCCAAUCGUCAUCCAGCCGGCGUCCGCCACAGAGACCACCCAGCUCACGGCCGACUCCCACCCCAGCUACCACACCGACGGGUUCAAUUAAGUCCAGGAGGAGCUGUGAUUAGAGGAUAAGUCAGCACCCGGCCACUCAACCUUAGAAUCAUGAACUGUAGUCACAGAGAUGGGGCAGGCGCUGCCCUGGCCCUGGAGGGGCCGCGCCAGCCUGCCUCUGUGCCCGCCCAUCCGUCGACCCCCAACACGUGAAGUGCGUAGCAUGCAGUAUUUAAAGCAGUUUAGCUACGGUCUUCUUUUUCCGUUGUUUUCCUUUUUUAAUAGCAUGUGUGGGGUUAUGUUCCAUGUCUGUCUGUGUUGUGGGCGUCCUGGGGCCACGGACCACAUUCACCAGACCGGGAGCUGCCUCGGCUUGGUCAGGUCGUUGCUGUGGGUUGUCGGCCUCGUGGCCGAACGGGCCCUCCGUUCCCCUGUGUUCAGGGGCCUGAGGCAGGCGCUGCCUGGCGGCGGCUGUGGACUCAGCCUCCUGCCUUCUGCUCGCUGACUGUGUGGCCACCGGCAGGGCCUCUGGACUCACCUGCCAGGAGGGAGCUGGGCCUACCCGCCCUGCCAACAGCACUUCCAUGGCAUCCGUAUUGAGGACAGUUUUGUGAGAUCUGGUCACCUCGUUUGUUUGGCCUUGUGGCAGGGUGCUUCCCGUUUGGGUUUGUUGUGGACAGCGUAGGAGGCUCUCCUGGUCCUGAGACCAUAUUCCCUGCCCGUGUCUGACCUGAGGCCCCUGUCCUUCAAGUGUGCCCUCGCCAGGCAUGGGAAGGUUCCUGCACUUUCCAAUGGCCCCGAGCUGGGUUGACAGGCCCUCCCGGCAGCCUCCACUCUCCCCUUCCCCUCAUCUCCUCCACAUUCCUUCAGGCCCCCCGGCCUUGUAUCUGUGUUUGGACCUCUAAGAACCACAGAUGGUAGCAGUGGCCCAAUUCAUGGGAGGCAAAGGAGCUAAGGGUCCAGGUUGCUGGUGGUGAGGGGCUGCCCGGCCCUCCCCUCUGCGCUUUCCUUUCCUUCGCCUGCUCCCUUUGGCCAUUGGGCAGGUGGGUCAGGCAGAGCUGGAGAUAGCAGGUUGGCAGAGGAAGGACCAGCUGGACCAAAGGCACACUCUGGGCUAGAGGGUUGGGUCCCCAGGAGGCCCUGGUGCCCCUGGGCUCGGUAGCCAGCAGCCUGACCACGGAAGCCCCUCUCACUGUCUCGGUAGCACCUUUUAUGCAGUGUCAGAAGCCAGGCUUGUCUGCGUCCAGGCCUGUCGGUGGUGCCCCUGCUGGAAGGACCUGGAGACCUGGUUGUGGCGGGGUGACUCCCCGCUCGACUUGCACCGGGCACUGGAGACCCACGGUGCCCAAGUGGGCCUAGUUUCUGCAGAACGAACCUCGUGGCUACUGGGCUCCUGAAUGCCCCCUGGGGGCACAGGAGGGACCGCCCACCUGCUGGUAGGACGCACCAGGACCACUUCCCGAAGCACUGCCUCUGUUCUCCCGCGGCCCUUGUGCUCAGAAAGCCUCUGUGUGGGGGUGCCCGGCCGGCUCGGGUAGGCAGCAGGGCUGUGGGCACUUGUUGGUACCAUGUUGUUUUGGUUUUCGCCUGUGAAAGAGACUGUGAAGACAGGCAGUGAGGGGCGGGUGUGCACUGAUGCUAACUGAGAGGUGGUCUAAAGCCAGGCCUCGCGAGAGGAAGAAGUCCACAGCUUGACCCGCCCUGAGACGGAGAGGAGGCCAGACAGUCCCAGCACUUCAGCCUGAGGUGCAGGCCCUCGUCAGCUUCCUGCUGUUUCUGGAAGUAACUUAGGAAAUGAGUUGUUUCUCCCCAGGAUGGCCGAGAGCCAAGGUCAGAGCUUGGGCUUCAGUUGGGAGCCGCCGUGCUGCUGCCUUGUGGCCAGAGGACUCAAGGCCUGUUCCACACGCCAGGGCCCCUGGCCAGGUGUCCGUCAGUCACAGAAUCUUACUGGUCGUUUCCUAGAAACGUCAGGCUUCCCUGGAGGCCAGAGUGGGAAGCCCUUCCGAAGGGGCACGUCUGGAAUUUUGUUGAGCCCAGUCCCGUGGAAUCUCUUAAGAAGCUAAGUGAAUCAUGGCAGUGAUGCUGACAGUCCCCAGGUGACAGCAGUGGCAGGUCGAGGCCGGAGUCCGGGGUCCGGGCAGGUCUGGACCCCCCACCACCACCACACACACACUCUCUUGACCCCGAAGCGUCUCCACUUUGGUGGUCGGGAGGCAGGAGCCCUUUCUAAGUUUCUACCGGAUGCACUUCCAGGCCCUCCUCUUGACCGAAGACCCAAGUCCCUGGUCAGUUUCCCUUUUUCCUGUGUGGUCCACCUGUUUGCCUGGUACAGAGUGUUGUCUGAAAGGGCACCCCCAUUUGUGUGCUAGGUGGGAACCACCCUCCGUCUGCUGUGGCGGGAACAGGCGCACGUUGGCCCUCACUCUCAGGCUGUACCCUGUGGCCAGAGCUGGGUGCACCACCAGGCACCAGGGGCGUCCAGCCGCUCUGACCACCUGCGGCCUAAGGUGUGGGAGAGGCCUGCGCCACCCAAGGGCAGCUGCUGGUGUGUUGGUGUCAGUCCGCUUGGUGGCGUGGUCUUUUCUUGUCUUCCUUUGGCUUUAUUCUGUUUUCAAACUGCUUUAGAUAUUACCGCUCACACGCGAGCCUUCCUGCUUCUCUAGUCAGUCAAGCAGCCAGCACCGCUGGAACCUGGCGGUGGGAGCGCACUGGGCUUGGUCACGAGGCUGCCUGAGAAGGCCCUGCCGGGACGGUCUUGCACAUUCUAACUGUGAGCGGUCUGUUCCAGGGGGGCUUGUGCCUGGGGAGAGCCCGCCGCUGCAGCUGGCGGUCCAGGGAGACGUGCAGCCUCCUCGGCACCUGGUGAGGCCACCAGUGCGUGGGGCGGGCACCGGCACGCAGGCUCUCCCUGGAGGGGCCAGGCUCUGCGUGGGCAGAGCUGGGGGGCCCGUCCGUCCUGCCCUGGCACUCAGCAUGGCCUGCCGGGGAAUGCGUGGGGGGUGUGGAAAGUGACCGGUCUCAUUCCUUUCUCUGUAUUCUGAGCUGUGAGCCCGUGUGACACAAGACUUCCCUGUUUGUUUUGCUGUUUGGUUGUGAAUCAUCGCCUGUGGAAUUGGCAAAAGCUCCUUCUUCCUGUCCUUUCAAGCACGGCUGGCGUCUGAGCUGUGGGUGUGGGCAGUGUGUGUACAUAUGUGCAUAUGUAUAUAGCGCAGCGGGCGUGACUGCUGCUGUCCAGGUGAAACAACAGGUGCAGUGACAGUUGGCUCCAGAACGGCCCCUGGUUUCUUGACGGUCCUGGCAGGAGCGGGUCCCGGCAAGCGCCCCACCAGGUGCUCGGAAGGAAACCGGCCUGUGGUGCGCCUGGAAUGGGGGUGGAUGGCUGGGCCGGUGCCUGAGCGCGCCAUGGCAGCCUCCCCUGCUGGUGUCUGCCUCUCCAGGGUAGGGUGCAGGGCUGCCCAGGUGGUGACUGUCUGGCACAAGGGCCACACCCAUCCCUGGGGGCCUCUGCCAUGCUCACCUGACCCAGAGGUGUGUCCCCCAUGACAUUCAGAGGUGGCUGAAAACCCCUCCUUCCCUUGAAACAUUAUAACCAAUUUUCUGAGCAUCAGGUACGAUCAGUGACAAAGCUACGUUCUAAAGGGGCUUCUGUCCUGACUGCAGAUCCACCCUGGAGGGGUCCCCAGGGAGAAAGGGCUGGGCCCGGGGUCCUUCGGGCAGCAGCUCUCGGUUGAUUUUGUCCCCCUAGAAAGUGGGACGAUGUUCUGAACCAGGAAGGCAGCUUACACUGAAUGUACACGUGUGAGAAACCCCAGUGCGGGUGCAGGGACAGCAGCCGUCCGUGCGCUGGUUUCGUCCUGCUGCUGGGACCCGACCUCCGCCCUGAGCCCACGCACACCUGGGGCCGGCUCAGGGCGCGGUGGUCUCCCGUGGUGAUCGUCCCUUGUGUCUGGAUGUUGACCUGUAAUGAAGAUGACUUGUAAAAUAAAUGUUUUCACUGCA
Non-coding RNA from Vicugna pacos (alpaca), 4629 nucleotides. The record is from RefSeq and is a predicted model, not a curated record. Lineage: Eukaryota; Metazoa; Chordata; Mammalia; Artiodactyla; Camelidae.